CGGCGGACGGGUGAGUAACGCGUGGGUAACCUACCCCAAAGUCCGGGAUAACAGCGGGAAACCGCUGCUAAUACCGGAUGCCUUUACCUUGGGGCAUCUUGAGGUAAAGAAAGGUAACGCUUUGGGAUGGGCCCGCGUCCCAUUAGCUAGUUGGUGAGGUAACGGCUCACCAAGGCGACGAUGGGUAGCCGGCCUGAGAGGGUGGACGGCCACACUGGGACUGAGACACGGCCCAGACUCCUACGGGAGGCAGCAGUAGGGAAUAUUGCGCAAUGGACGGAAGUCUGACGCAGCGACGCCGCGUGAGCGAUGAAGGUCUUCGGAUCGUAAAGCUCUGUCCUUGGGGAAGAAGGCGAAAGCUUGACGGUACCCAAGAAGAAAGCCCCGGCUAACUACGUGCCAGCAGCCGCGGUAAUACGUAGGGGGCGAGCGUUGUCCGGAAUUACUGGGCGUA
Molecule: ribosomal RNA, 454 nt
Filed under: uncultured bacterium
Lineage: Bacteria
Description: bacterial SSU rRNA
Rfam family: Bacterial small subunit ribosomal RNA
Source: RNAcentral